AGAGCACCUGACACCAUCCAGAGGUUCCCGUGGCUCCAGGCUUCUCUCCAUGCUACCAGCCAAUUUCUGAGCCCUGUCUCUGAGCCAGACCCGUGCUCGGUAUGUACAUGGAGUGCGUUAUUCCAUCCUUACGACCUAGGAGACAGGAACUGCCAAUUCUGUGAGGUAGGGGCCGUGAGCCUCGUUUUACAGAUAAGAAGGAGGAGGCACAGGAGAGGUUAAGUCGCUCAGCCAAAGUUACGGCAGGGAAGUCCCGGGGCAGGGACUCAAACCCAGGCUGUGUGGCUCUGGCUGCCACAGCCUGAGCCCCUAUUCGAGACCGCGCCAAUCACAGCAUCCGUCACACUGUGUUAUGGUUGUUUCUCUCUUCCCCUCCACGGAGCUUCUCCCGGAGGGAGACAGUCGACCAGAAGAGUGAAGAAUGCAGGAAGGGCUGAUUGGAAGCGGGGAGCCUUUGUCUUGCUCAGCUGACAUUGUCCACCAGGUGGCAGUCACAGCUCCCGGAUAAAGUCGUCCCUUUUCAUCUCCCCCCUUCCCCUUUAAGAAGGAAACCCUUUUUUUCCCCCGACGCCGCCUCCCUCAAUUUUUAUUAUUACCAAGAAGUGAAGUGAGUAGCCUCAACUCAAAACACGACUCCCUGCCUGAGCUUUUUGAAAACGGCACGUGGAGAAGGUGCGUCUCCAACCCCCGUGAGCCGCGGCGCAAGCGGAGAGAGGCAGGCGGGCUUGGGGGUGCGCAGCCUGGGAGCCCAGGAUCCAUGACGUGAGAUGGAAUUUCAGCCCACAAAAGAGCACUCUGGGAGGCCGAGGCGCGCGGAUCACCUGAGGUCAAGAGUUGGAGACCAGCCUGGCCAACAUGGCGAAACUCCGUCUCAACUAAAAAUAUAAAAAUUAGCCAGGUGUGGUGGCGGGCGCCUGUAAUCCCACCUGUUCAGGAGGCUGGGGCGGGAGAAUCGCUUGAACCUGGGAGGCAGAGGUUGCAGUGAACCGAGAUGGCGCCACUGCACUCCAGCCUGGGCGACAGAUCAAGACUCCAUCUCAAAAAAAAAAAAAAAAAAAACCACACACAGAAAUUGAUAUAUUUUAAAUGUGUAUGUUAAACAAAUAAAUAAAUGCUAUUAACCCUCAAAGUACAAUGUAACAUCCUUGUGCUCUUGUUGAGAAUUAGGGGAAGAUUGGAUUCUUUGUGGGUUACCACAGAGGGUGUGAUAAUGGUACCAAGUUGAAAGGUGUUCAGGGCUCAAUGCU
RNAcentral lists this long non-coding RNA (1247 nucleotides) under Homo sapiens (human). RNAcentral's name for it is "HSALNT0331148". The record is from RNAcentral. Lineage: Eukaryota; Metazoa; Chordata; Mammalia; Primates; Hominidae.